Molecule: transfer RNA, 67 nt
Filed under: Nitrosospira sp.
Lineage: Bacteria; Pseudomonadati; Pseudomonadota; Betaproteobacteria; Nitrosomonadales; Nitrosomonadaceae
Description: tRNA-Tyr
Rfam family: tRNA
About the family: Transfer RNA (tRNA) molecules are approximately 80 nucleotides in length.
Source: RNAcentral
UCCCGAGCGGCCAAAGGGAUCAGACUGUAAAUCUGACGGCUCUGCCUUCGAAGGUUCGAAUCCUUCC